Molecule: long non-coding RNA, 260 nt
Filed under: Elaeis guineensis (African oil palm)
Lineage: Eukaryota; Viridiplantae; Streptophyta; Magnoliopsida; Arecales; Arecaceae
Description: long non-coding RNA (EGUI_LNC063179)
Source: RNAcentral
AGUGCUUCAAUCAGACAUCUCUAUAUAGAUACUAGUAGAGGUCAGACGUGUGUGUGGCUAUGAUCAGAACCUCGAACAUCCGUAGGAUCCAAGGUAUGGAGAUCCGAUCUCCAUUUGAUUUUUCUAACCAUUUGUUUUUUUUUUAGAUUUCAGAUCAUGGUAAUAUAUUCAUAUCAAGAUUUAUGCUACAAUUUUUAUAUUAGAGCUGAUACAUUAUUAAAUUAAAAAAAUUUUAAUUUAUUUAUUUUCACUUCUUAGAU